Long non-coding RNA from Zingiber officinale, 516 nucleotides. RefSeq lists it as uncharacterized. Lineage: Eukaryota; Viridiplantae; Streptophyta; Magnoliopsida; Zingiberales; Zingiberaceae. The record is from RefSeq and is a predicted model, not a curated record. The transcript is spliced from 3 exons.
UAUAAAUAUUUAUUUUUCUUCUAUUGCAGCGAUCAUUCACUUGGGACAUGAUUGAUGAGAUGGAAAUAAAGAGGAUUUUCAUGAAAAAAUGUGGCGAUCACAUUUGUCAUGUACUCAAUCAUGCAAAGUCGAGGGGGAAAAAACCACCAUUCAUCACCGAGGAAAAUUGGAUAAGGAUUUCAAAUUUUUGGGAAAGUGAGGAGUUUAAAAAAAGAAGUCACCAGAAUAAAAUAAAUCAAUCUUUUAAUUCUGGAGAAUUGUCUGCGACAUAUGCAGGAGGCUCUAUCAAUGUGGAUGAGCAUAGACAUAGAUUGACCAAAGAAUUGGGAAAGGAGCCUACUUUUAUAGAUACUUUCACCCGCACAUUUUAGAAAAAAGAUAAGACUUGGAGCGGGGACAGAGCUAAAGCAAUUAAGGAAAAAUAUGUUGAGUUAGAGGUAGCACAGAGAUGUUCAGCUUCUGCUAGUUCUGAUAUUGAGGGGUCUGAGCCGUCUGUUGGUAGUGAUUUCAAUUUAU